UACCCUAUGGAUCGGAAUAACCUCGGGAAACUGAGGCUAAUACCGAAUACCGCUCUCAUCCUGGAACUGGAGAGAGCACCAAACGCUCCGGCGCCAUAGGAUGUGGCUGCGGCCGAUUAGGUAGACGGUGGGGUAACGGCCCACCGUGCCGAUAAUCGGUACGGGUUGUGAGAGCAAGAGCCCGGAGACGGUAUCUGAGACAAGAUACCGGGCCCUACGGGGCGCAGCAGGCGCGAAACCUUUACACUGCACGAACGUGCGAUAAGGGGACUCCAAGUGCGAGGGCAUACAGUCCUCGCUUUUCUGUACCGUAAGGUGGUACAAGAAUAAGAGCUGGGCAAGACCGGUGCCAGCCGCCGCGGUAAUACCGGCAGCUCGAGUGAUGGCCAAUAUUAUUGGGCCUAAAGCGUCCGUAGCUGGCCGAACAGGUCCGUCGGGAAAUCCGCUCGCUCAACGAGCGGACGUCCGGCGGAAACCAGUCGGCUUGGGACCGGAAGACCCGAGGGGUACGGCCGGGGUAGGAGUGAAAUCCUGUAAUCCUGGCCGGACCACCGGUGGCGAAAGCGCCUCGGGAAGACGGAUCCGACAGUGAGGGACGAAAGCUAGGGUCACGAACCGGAUUAGAUACCCGGGUAGUCCUAGCUGUAAACGAUGCUCGCUAGGUGUGGCACUGG
Molecule: ribosomal RNA, 674 nt
Filed under: halophilic archaeon
Lineage: Archaea; Methanobacteriati; Methanobacteriota; Halobacteria; Halobacteriales
Description: bacterial SSU rRNA
Rfam family: Archaeal small subunit ribosomal RNA
Source: RNAcentral